RNAcentral lists this ribosomal RNA (521 nucleotides) under Citrobacter freundii. RNAcentral's name for it is "partial 23S ribosomal RNA". It matches the Rfam family "Bacterial large subunit ribosomal RNA", at positions 2240 to 2760 of the family's 2925-position model. Lineage: Bacteria; Pseudomonadati; Pseudomonadota; Gammaproteobacteria; Enterobacterales; Enterobacteriaceae. The record is from RNAcentral.
CCGGGUUGCGGACAGUGUCUGGUGGGUAGUUUGACUGGGGCGGUCUCCUCCUAAAGAGUAACGGAGGAGCACGAAGGUUAGCUAAUCCUGGUCGGACAUCAGGAGGUUAGUGCAAAGGCAUAAGCUAGCUUGACUGCGAGAGUGACGGCUCGAGCAGGUGCGAAAGCAGGUCUUAGUGAUCCGGUGGUUCUGAAUGGAAGGGCCAUCGCUCAACGGAUAAAAGGUACUCCGGGGAUAACAGGCUGAUACCGCCCAAGAGUUCAUAUCGACGGCGGUGUUUGGCACCUCGAUGUCGGCUCAUCACAUCCUGGGGCUGAAGUAGGUCCCAAGGGUAUGGCUGUUCGCCAUUUAAAGUGGUACGCGAGCUGGGUUUAGAACGUCGUGAGACAGUUCGGUCCCUAUCUGCCGUGGGCGCUGGAGAAUUGAGGGGGGCUGCUCCUAGUACGAGAGGACCGGAGUGGACGCAUCACUGGUGUUCGGGUUGUCAUGCCAAUGGCAUUGCCCGGUAGCUAAAUGCGGAA